Long non-coding RNA from Heterocephalus glaber (naked mole-rat), 2004 nucleotides. The record is from Ensembl. Lineage: Eukaryota; Metazoa; Chordata; Mammalia; Rodentia; Bathyergidae.
CUCCAUCUCUCGUGUCCCCUGUCCCCUCUCAUCCUCGCUCCCCCUCUAGGGUCUCCGUUGACUUACCCGCGGGCCGGGACAAGUGGCGCCCAACGUGGGGCCAGAGAACGGGGGGAUCCAGUGAAGGACGCUGCUCAGGGGCCCUAAGAUUAAGAUUGAGGAACAAAGAGCACACUCGACACAGGAGAGGCUUGCGAUUGACGUGGACCUGCCGUCUUUUUGCACCUCGGUGAGUUGAGCAGCGAUUAUGGGACAGGGCAUUAGUCAGCACGAAUUGUUUGUGCAAGGUCUCAAGGAGACAUUACAGGCACGAGGGGUAAAGGUUACAGUCAAACAAUUGCUGAAAUUUUUUGAUUAUAUUAAAGAUCUCUGUCCCUGGUUCCCUGCUGAGGGAACCAUUGAUGAAAAGAGAUGGAAAAGGGUAGGGGAAGCUCUUCAGGAUUCCUGUGCCACUUGCGGACCCGGAAAGGUCCCGAUUGCGGCGUUCUCGUAUUGGAAUUUUAUCAAUGAUAUUAUUUCCCAAAAAACGAGGGACCCACUGGUAGCUCAAGCUAUCCAGGUUGGGGAGAUAGCCCUCCGUACGGGUGAGGAUCCAACGCCUCCAGGCGGCUCCGACGCAGUUCCCCGGGACGCCAAUAUGGCGCCGGGACCCAGGCCAGUUAAGGCCAUGACUUCCUCGCCAGACGAGGAGAAGGACUUGAUGUCCUUUGACAGUGACGAUGAUCUCGCCCCCGACAGACGUAACACUCCCUCGGACCAAUCCCAGACGGCCACAAUCCCUGCCAAGCUCUAUAAGGCAAAGCUUCGCCGGACCCCCGCCUCCACCCCCAGAUCCGCCCCAAAAUGGCUCCGGGACUGACGAGUCUGUGGGGGGGGCACUGCGGGGUGGCUCUGGGUGCCCCCCUCCUUACAUUCCUCCUGGCCCCAACACUCCCGCUCUGGCAUAUCCUGUUGUUGAUCCCCAAAAGGAACUCCGGGACAAAAUAGAUUUCCUCAAAGAACAGAUAAGGUUAGAAAAGGAACAUCAAGAGCUUAUUACCCAGCUUGAAGGUUUAAGAACAGGCAAGGCCCAUGAAAAUGUCCCUAGAAAAGACAAACUUAAGCCACGACCCCCCCGUUAGAGGGGCGGCCCCUAGGGUGCCAUCCGGGUCAAGAGUAUCCCUGAAACUUAAAAAUGUGGAAGCCUUUCCCGUAACUAAAACUACUGACGCACAGAGACAGGCAUGAAGACACCACAGUGGUUUCGAUUUUAAGGUCAUUAAAAAAUUUAAAACGGCCGCAGCUCAAUACGGGGCCACUGCACCUUACACCAUGGCUAUUUUAGAAUCGGUGGCAGAAAAUUGGCUCACCCCAAUUGAUUGGCAGACUCUGGCCCGUGCCACCCUUACAGGAGGUGACUACUUAUUAUGGAAAUCUGAGUAUGUUGAGAAUUGUCGAGAGACCACUAGACGUAAUGCUCAGGCGGGGAAUGGUUGGGUGCUUGACAUGCUUCUUGGGGAGGGGGGCCUAUGCCGCUAACGACCAACAGAUGCAAUUUGAUGUGGGGUUAUAUGCCCAGAUUCAGACCGCCGCCACUAGGGCCUGGAAAAGCUCCCCUCCAAAGGAGACGUGAGUGCCUCCCUCACUAACAUUCGGCAGGGCCCAGACGAGCCGUUUGCGGACUUUGUCCACCGCCUUCUCACGGUGGCAGGCCAAAUUUUUGGGAGCGCAGAAACCGGGACGGAUUUCGUUAAACAGCUUGCUUUUGAGAACGCCAACGCCGCUUGUCAGGCCGCUAUCCGCCCCUAUAAAAAGAAAACUGACCUUUCCGGCUACAUUCGCCUUUGCUCUGAGAUUGGGGCCGCCUACCAACAGGGCCUUGCCAUGGCAGCUGCCAUGCAAGGCUUCACAGUCAAACAAUUCCUGCAGCACCAUGUCGGCAAUAAGUGCUUCCGGUGUGGGGCCACCGGCCAUUUUGUUAGAGAAUGCCUGACCGCUAAAAUGCAGGGCCCCGAUGCUCCGCCC